Molecule: ribosomal RNA, 497 nt
Filed under: uncultured bacterium
Lineage: Bacteria
Description: partial 16S ribosomal RNA
Rfam family: Bacterial small subunit ribosomal RNA
Source: RNAcentral
GAUGAACGCUGGCGGCGUGCCUAACACAUGCAAGUCGAGCGAACAGACGAGGAGCUUGCUGCUCUGAAGUUAGCGGCGGACGGGUGAGUAACACGUGCACAACCUAACUCUACGACUGGGAUAACUUCAGGAAACCGGAGCUAAGACUAGUAAAUAUAUUGAACCGCAUGGUUCAAUAGUGAAAGACGGUUUUGCUGUCACUGAUGGAUGGGUCCGCGCCGCAUUAGCUAGUUGGUAAGGUAACGGCUUACCAAGGCAACGAUGCGUAGGCGACCUGAGAGGGGGAUCGGCCACACUGGAACUGAAACACGACCCGGACUCCUACGGGAGGCAGCGGUACGGAAUCUUCCGCAAUGGGCGAAAGCCUGACGGAGCAACGCCGCGUGGGUGAUGAAGUUCUUCGGAUCGUAAAACUCUGUUAUUAGGGAAGAACAAAUGUGUAAGUAACUAUGCACUUCUUGACGGUACCUAAUCAGAAAGCCACGGCUAACUCCGUG